Molecule: transfer RNA, 59 nt
Filed under: Camelus bactrianus (Bactrian camel)
Lineage: Eukaryota; Metazoa; Chordata; Mammalia; Artiodactyla; Camelidae
Also listed under: 2 other names
Rfam family: tRNA
About the family: Transfer RNA (tRNA) molecules are approximately 80 nucleotides in length. Their secondary structure includes four short double-helical elements and three loops (D, anti-codon, and T loops).
Source: Rfam by way of RNAcentral
GGUGGUAUAGCUCAAUGGUAGAGUACAUGCUUAGCAUGUAUGAGGCCCUGGUACCUCCA